GGAGUUAGCCGGUGCUUCUUCUGUGAGUGAUGUCCUUCCUGCCGGCUAUUAACCCGCAGGCCUUCUUCCUCACUGAAAGUGCUUUACAACCCGAAGGCCUUCUUCACACACGCGGCAUGGCUGGAUCAGGGUUGCCCCCAUUGUCCAAUAUUCCCCACUGCUGCCUCCCGUAGGAGUCUGGGCCGUGUCUCAGUCCCAGUGUGGCUGAUCAUCCUCUCAGACCAGCUACGGAUCGUCGCCUUGGUGAGCCGUUACCUCACCAACCAGCUAAUCCGACAUAGGCUCAUCCGAUAGCGCGAGGCCCGAAGGUCCCCCGCUUUCCCCCGUAGGGCGUAUGCGGUAUUAGCCUGGGUUUCCCCAGGUUAUCCCCCACUACCGGGCAGAUUCCUAUGCAUUACUCACCCGUCCGCCGCUCGCCACCAGGGAGCAAGCUCCCCGUGCUGCCGCUCGACUUGCAUGUGUAGCGUCGCCGCCACGCGUCAUCUGACGCGAGAACGUACGACCGUACGA
This 510-nucleotide ribosomal RNA is filed under the name uncultured bacterium. Its description in RNAcentral is "partial 16S ribosomal RNA". The record is from RNAcentral.